Molecule: long non-coding RNA, 1095 nt
Organism: Zeugodacus cucurbitae (melon fly)
Lineage: Eukaryota; Metazoa; Arthropoda; Insecta; Diptera; Tephritidae
Exons: 4
Source: RefSeq, a predicted model, not a curated record
UCUUAUUGCAAUGCUAUGCACAUACAGCAGCGAAGCUUGAAUUGUAAUCGGUGUUUACUUGCUAUUGCUGAUCGCCAGCAGUCAUGUGCGCCUGGUACUUCAGGGCGGUGCAGCAAUGAUACAUUUCGGACGACUUCGUUGAUUUUGUUUUUUGCUUACAUGGGGAUCAGCUUUACAUAUAUGCGUACACAAGGUGAUAGCAGACAGCAAGGUCAAGCAGUAACAUUUGACUUUGUAUAUACAAACAUACAUACACUUGUUCUGUCUUGUGUUCACCUUCGUCGAUUGGAAACCAACAACGAAAAUGCGUUUCAAUUCAAAGGUUGUAUGAAAGCAGUAAUACUGAAGAUUUUAUACCAAAACCGAGAGCAGGGCAGCCAAAUAGUAAUAUUUCGCAAUUAAAUUUAUUGUACGAUAAAAUGAAUUUUAUCAAAAUUUAAUAUAAAAAGACAAUAUAAGAACUGGGAUGUAACUAGUUUCAAAGCAACUAGUUGAGGACUAACACCAAACAAGUUGUACAUUAUUUUCGAAGAAUUUUUAAGAGUUGGUUUUAAAUUAACUGGUUUUAAAGUAACAAAUAAGCCAAGGAAUUGAAUGUAAAGCAGAACCAAUGUUCACACAUUUCCUAAAUUGCAUCCAAUGUCUUGUCGUCAUCAGAACGAAGACAGCUUUCGCUCUAAGAAAAGACAUUUUUUCGAUUGAAAUAAAUCCGUGAGCAAUUGCAUGUGCUCGGUUGACUGAUGAGAUGAACCAGAAAACUUUUACUGAAUAUCGUUUGACUUGAAGCAUAAUUACUUGGAUGGAUUUAGCUUAACUACUUGGAUCCGAUUGACGUUGGAAAAGGCAAUGUACCGGCAUAAGAGUCUAGGAAAUCUAUCAUCCGUAUGAAUGACAUCGGUUUAAUGUAUUUUAAACUGAAAAGAAAAUUCAAAAAUAAUAUUAUCAAUAGAAGAAGACUCGCAGAGUAUAGAAGCAUGUUAUAAAAGAGAAACCUUAACUAUAGGUAUAUAGAGGAUUAUUCAGGUUCAUAUAGAUUUUUUUACAUUUAGAGAUAUGUAUAAAUAAUGAGAAUAAAGCUGUUAACAAGACUAAUAA